This 401-nucleotide ribosomal RNA is filed under the name uncultured bacterium. Its description in RNAcentral is "bacterial SSU rRNA". It matches the Rfam family "Bacterial small subunit ribosomal RNA", at positions 356 to 773 of the family's 1533-position model. The record is from RNAcentral.
AAGGGAUAUUGCGCAAUGGGCGAAAGCCUGACGCAGCAACGCCGCGUGGAGGAUGAAGGGUUUCGGCUCGUAAACUCCUUUUGCGUGGGACGAGGAAGGACGGUACCACGUGAAUAAGUCACGGCUAACUACGUGCCAGCAGCCGCGGUAAAACGUAGGUGGCGAGCGUUAUCCGGAAUUACUGGGCGUAAAGCGUGUGCAGGCGGGCUGCCAAGUGGUGUAUGAAAUCUCCCGGCUUAACCGGGAUAGGUUAUGCCAGACUGGCAGUCUAGAGGCUGAGAGAGGAGCGUGGAAUUCCGGGUGUAGUGGUGAAAUGCGUAGAGAUCCGGAGGAACCCCAGAGGCGAAGGCGGCGCUCUGGCUCAGCCCUGACGCUCAGACACGACAGCAUGGGGAGCGAAC